UGUCGAAGAUGCGAGAGUGCUACGCUGUUAGAACAAUUCAUCGGUGCAUUCAAGUGUUACCUAUUAUAAGCUGCCAAAAGACCAAGCAGUGCGAAGCUCUUGGCUGACAGUGGUGCCUGCUAAUUUCCACUGCAAGGAUUUCGUCCACGAAUGUUAUCAUAGGUUACGCGCGACUCCAGAGGCAAUUUGGAAUCUCGGCACGAAAUCGUCUGAUGAAAAUCUGAGGUGCCCGACGCAUAACAUUUUGAACGUGCCACGGAGGAUCAAGGCAAAAAACGAGAGCAAAAAAUGGUGCACGCUGAAGGCGGAAAUGAAGCAUGAUCUGGCUUGCAUCUGGUCAUGAAGAAAUUGCUGACACGUUAGUUGCAGUCCACCUCCACCAACAGGGUGGAAAACAAAGAUCGCCAUUCCGAUUAGCUGCUAUCUCCCAGUUCAAGCACUUUUGUGUCUGGACACUGGUUCCUGUGGAUGGGGUGUUACAAGCUUUACUGUCUGAUAUAGAAGUGAUGAGCAUCCAUAAGGACACAUGCCAGAAAGGGAGUCUCUUUGGGAUGACAAACCCUCAUCACCUCAUGAGGAUACAAUGGUUGACGAAUGGUUCUCAAGCACAUCGAAACUUCCAACAAAUAAUUCAUGAA
Ornithodoros turicata is the source of this 638-nucleotide long non-coding RNA. RefSeq lists it as uncharacterized. The record is from RefSeq and is a predicted model, not a curated record. The transcript has 4 exons. NCBI's taxonomy places the organism in Eukaryota, Metazoa, Arthropoda, Arachnida, Ixodida, Argasidae.